AGUUAUAGGCAAUGCCUUGUUUCUCACCACGUUCUCUAAACCUUUUCAGUUUGUCUUUUAGCAUUGUUGAACUGAAAAGGUCAUUGAGACUUUACUUCAUGUCUAAAUGGUUCUAAAAAUUCCCCAGGGUUCCAAGACUUGCUGUGGACUAGAACUGCAAUCAGUAGAGGUAUAGAAACUGUCAGUUGCUGGAACAGGAUCCGUUUGGAAUAAGGCAGAUAAAUGCACUAAGAGACUGCUGAGAACUGAUUGGGCAUCAAGACACUGAACUGUAGGUUAGUCUUGACCACUACACAAUGUGUGAGUUGAUAAACUAUUGCAAAU
Molecule: long non-coding RNA, 324 nt
Filed under: Homo sapiens (human)
Lineage: Eukaryota; Metazoa; Chordata; Mammalia; Primates; Hominidae
Description: HSALNT0370042
Source: RNAcentral